RNAcentral lists this transfer RNA (67 nucleotides) under Sinochlora szechwanensis. RNAcentral describes it as "tRNA-Trp". Lineage: Eukaryota; Metazoa; Arthropoda; Insecta; Orthoptera; Tettigoniidae. The record is from RNAcentral.
AAGAUUUUAAGUUAAUUAAACUAAUAGCCUUCAAAGCUAUAAAUAAAAUUAUUUUUUUUAAAUCUUA